CCUACGGGGGGCUGCAGUGAGGAAUAUUGCGCAAUGGAGGCAACUCUGACGCAGCCAUGCCGCGUGCAGGAAGAAGGCGCUACGCGUUGUAAACUGCUUUUAUCCGGGAAGAAACCCUCAUACGUGUAUGGGGUUGACGGUACCGGAGGAAUAAGCACCGGCUAACUUCGUGCCAGCAGCCGCGGUAAUACGAAGGGUGCAAGCGUUAUCCGGAUUCAUUGGGUUUAAAGGGUGCGUAGGCGGGGUGAUAAGUCAGUGGUGAAAUCUUGCGGCUC
Molecule: ribosomal RNA, 275 nt
Filed under: uncultured bacterium
Lineage: Bacteria
Description: partial 16S ribosomal RNA
Rfam family: Bacterial small subunit ribosomal RNA
Source: RNAcentral